Molecule: unclassified non-coding RNA, 190 nt
Filed under: plant metagenome
Description: partial contains small subunit ribosomal RNA and internal transcribed spacer 1
Rfam family: Eukaryotic small subunit ribosomal RNA (bases 1-46)
Source: RNAcentral
CAGUCGUAACAAGGUUUUCGUAGGUGAACCUGCGGAAGGAUCAUUAGUGAAUUAACGGAUUCCUCUGCAAAGAGAAGGUCCGAUCCACUAUCACACACACUUGUGCACUUGUCAUUUUACAAUUCAUUUUUGUAUCACACACUUUGUAUGAAACCUGUUUAUAAUAAACACUUUGAUAAAGAAAGAAAAA